Molecule: non-coding RNA, 75 nt
Filed under: Pseudomonas sp. LP_7_YM
Lineage: Bacteria; Pseudomonadati; Pseudomonadota; Gammaproteobacteria; Pseudomonadales; Pseudomonadaceae
Source: RNAcentral
CGUUAUGGCAGCUGUGUAUGGGAGACCUUCGGGUCUGCCGGGUACCUAUAACCGGUAUGCACAGCUGCCACCCUG